Long non-coding RNA from Cebus imitator (Panamanian white-faced capuchin), 315 nucleotides. RefSeq lists it as uncharacterized. The transcript is spliced from 3 exons. Lineage: Eukaryota; Metazoa; Chordata; Mammalia; Primates; Cebidae. The record is from RefSeq and is a predicted model, not a curated record.
UUGGCUGGGCGGAAGUGGGCGGAGCGGAGGGGGUAACCGGCGGUCCUUUCCGGUGUCCGGGAACAGUUGAAGAAACGACCAAGGAACUGAGAGUCGCUCUUGAGGAUGACGCGGCACGGCAAGAACUGCACCGCGGGGGCCGUCUACACCUACCACGAGAAGAAGAAGGACACAGCGGCCUCGGGCUAUGGGACCCAGAACAUUCGACUGAGCCGAGAUGCUGUGAAGGACUUCGACUGCUGUUGCCUCUCCCUGCAGCCCUGCCACGAUCCUGUUGUCACGUGAGCUGGGAUCAGGGGUGGGUGGGGAGGGGCA